AGAUGUGUGAGCACAUCUCGGAAGAGGAAGCCGGCCUGGUUGUGCAAUGAUGUCUGGCAGCCAGUGUGUGGAGCCCCUCAUCCUGCAUCCUGUGGGUGUGUGCACGCGCCUUCUGGGAGGAAGAGAAAUCUCCAUUUAUCCAAAUGCAGUCAUGCCAUCAUCUUCUGGCACCAUCACCGUAACUCUCCAGACCCCGAAUUCCGGCCUGAAUUUCUUGCGACUCCAUUUCCUGUAGAACCACUGGUCCCAGCUCUCGUGCCCAGCAACAGAGCCCUCCUUAAGUGGGCGCUGCUUCUCCUUGCAGCCUGCUUGCCUGCUCACAGUGCACUGGCAACGCGGCUGUCCGAGAUUUCAUCCCGUGAGCUCUUCACUCACCUCAUGACCUCUCUUGAAGUUUCCAUUAAACCAAGUGUUAAUUGGACACACCCAGGACAAAAAUGGUGACAGCUCAGAUCGACAGUCCACAGAAAGCAAUGAAAAGCUUCAGGCACCAAAACUCAGAAUGUCUCUUUAUUUCACGCGAGUGCAGUAGAUCUGUUGUUACCACACACAACAUCCUGAAUCACGGAGAUUCAUGGACAUGAGCGGGCCGCUCCUGUGGAGUGCACACGUUGUUGUGUGCUGGGUGCGCCGAUUUUCGCUCUGCAGUAGUCUCAGUUCAUCUGUUCACAGAGGCCUUGCCUCCUGUCCAAAGGCACCCACUUGGGGAUUUACAAAUACAGUAAGUCCCUUACUUAUGAAUAAAUUCUGUUCUGAGAGAAUGUGUAU
RNAcentral lists this long non-coding RNA (768 nucleotides) under Fukomys damarensis (Damara mole-rat). Its description in RNAcentral is "lncRNA (ENSFDAG00000025990.1)". The record is from RNAcentral. Lineage: Eukaryota; Metazoa; Chordata; Mammalia; Rodentia; Bathyergidae.